This 580-nucleotide long non-coding RNA is filed under the name Paramuricea clavata. Lineage: Eukaryota; Metazoa; Cnidaria; Anthozoa; Malacalcyonacea; Plexauridae. The record is from RNAcentral.
GGCCGCAGGAUAUUUUUUUUGCCUCUCAUAAUAACGGCUUACAGUAACUUUAGGCUUUCAUAUAGCUAUCAUCGGAGACGUAGCAGGGGUUUUCAGUCAGAGGAGGCCGAGAACUGAAUCCCAAGAUGGGCCAAGGAAUUUUCACUGUGCUUUAUUUUAUAUAUGGUUAUGUCUUAAUGUUCCCCACACUAAAGCGUGCAAGUUUACUUACAAAGAAUGUAUAACUGCACCAAAACCUAAAACAUGCAGGGAUAGAGUAGAGUACUCGAAAAUGGGGGAGGGUACAGUAUAUGAAUGACCUGUAACCUUGGGGGGUUCGGGGGCAAUGCUCCCCCGAGAAAAUUUUAAAAUUUGAACCUCGGAAAUGCUAUUUCCUGCGUUUUCAGCCAUGGAUAAUUAUCUUAAGCCCAGAUUUUCUCAGGGGGGGGGGCAACAAUUUUGCCAGGGAACACCACUGGCUAUCGUAUGUCAGAGGCUCCAAAGGCGGUAGAUUCCCUGUGAUGUUAUCCACUGUUCACCCCGUGUUCUUUUGAGCAUAUGAGCCUGCUCAAAAAUGCAAAAUCUUGCAAGCCUGUGGACG